AGCUUGGCGAGUAGAGCGGCGCACGGGUGAGUAACGCGUGGGAAUCUACCCCAUAGCGGGGGACAACUCGGGGAAACCCGAGCUAAUACCGCAUACGCUCUGUCUUUGCCCUUCUUGCGGGAAGGGGAAGAGAAGGAGGAAAGAGGGCCUCUGUUGUAAGCUCUCACUAUGGGAUGAGCCCGCGUCGGAUUAGCUGGUUGGUAGGGUAAAGGCCUACCAAGGCGACGAUCCGUAGCUGGUCUGAGAGGAUGAUCAGCCACACUGGAACUGAGACACGGUCCAGACUCCUACGGGAGGCAGCAGUGGGGAAUAUUGCACAAUGGGCGCAAGCCUGAUGCAGCUAUGCCGCGUGUGUGAAGAAGGCUUUCGGGUUGUAAAGCACUUUCAGUGGGGAGGAAAGGGAGUGGGUGAAUAGCCAACUGUUGUGACGUUACCCACAGAAGCAGCACCGGCUAACUCCGUGCCAGCAGCCGCGGUAAUACGGAGGGUGCGAGCGUUAAUCGGAAUCACUGGGCGUAAAGGGCGCGUAGGUGGUUUGUUAAGCGGGAUGUGAAAGCCCUGGGCUCAACCUGGGAAUAGCAUUUCGAACUGGCAGGCUAGAGUACAGCAGAGGGGUGUGGAAUUUCCGGUGUAUUGGUGAAAUGCGUAGAGAUCGGAAGGAACACCGGUGGCGAAGGCGACACUCUGGGCUGAUACUGACGCUGAGGGGGCGAAGCGUGGGGGAGCAAACAGGGAUUAGAGACCCUGGUAGUCCACGCUGUAAACGAUGUCUACUA
This 776-nucleotide ribosomal RNA is filed under the name uncultured bacterium. RNAcentral describes it as "bacterial SSU rRNA". It matches the Rfam family "Bacterial small subunit ribosomal RNA", at positions 80 to 818 of the family's 1533-position model. The record is from RNAcentral.